CAGUCGCCGCGGGAACACGGAGGGUGCAAGCGUUAAUCGGAAUUACUGGGCGUAAAGCGCACGCAGGCGGUUGUUUAAGUCUGUUGUGAAAUCCCCGGGCUCAACCUGGGAAUGGCAAUGGAUACUGGCAAGCUAGAGUGUGUCAGAGGAUGGUGGAAUUCCCGGUGUAGCGGUGAAAUGCGUAGAGAUCGGGAGGAACAUCAGUGGCGAAGGCGGCCAUCUGGGACAACACUGACGCUGAGGCACGAAAGCGUGGGGAGCAAACAGGAUUAGAUACCCGCGUAGUCCCUGUCUCUUAUAC
RNAcentral lists this ribosomal RNA (301 nucleotides) under uncultured bacterium. RNAcentral describes it as "partial 16S ribosomal RNA". It matches the Rfam family "Bacterial small subunit ribosomal RNA", at positions 509 to 807 of the family's 1533-position model. The record is from RNAcentral.